AAAUUUUUACAACAAGCACUUAAUAAGAACCUUGGUAAAAAAUUUUGGACGUUUCGCUGCGAAAAGUUAUAAGGAGGCAUUGGCUUGUGAUUUAUAAAUUUCCAUAUUAAAAGUAAACUUACUAAAAUUUUUUAUGAAACAGUGUGAAUUGAAUCAUCUAAGUAACAUUGGUAAUAAAUCAAUCGAGAAAUCGUUAGUAAUGGUGAAUGAACGCGAUACAAAAGCUUAAUAAAAGUUAAAUUUAUAAUUUACGAAAAAGGUAGAAGUCCUGUAAUAAUGAAAACUUUUUAAAUAGAAUUUCUAAGUAAUAUGAAUUUUAAUUUGUAUGAACAAAGGAGAACCACCUUCUAAGCUUAAAAAAUUUUUUAACCUAUAGUGUACGAGUACCGUGAGGGAAAGGUAAAGACGUUCGAAUAGAACAAAUUUAAGUUAAGUGUUUAUAAGUUUUCGAAGUAUAAAACAACGAAGUGCCUUUUGCAUAAUGAAUCAGCAAGUUAAUAUAUAUUGCAAGCUUAAGUAUUAAUAAAUAGGCUUUUUAUAGUAAUAUGUAUUAUACCUGAAACCAAGUGAUCUAGUUGUAAGCAAGUUGAAAAUACGUUAAAAUGUUUUUGAGGACUGAACUCGUACAUGUAGCAAAAUGUAGAGAUGACUUAUAGCUAGGAGCGAAAGACUAAUCAAACUUGGAGAUAGCCGGUUUUUCACGAAACGUAUUUUAGUACUACGUUAAUUAUUUUAAACCUUAAGUUAGAGUACAGAAUAAACAAAGGGAUGUAAAAAUUUACUGAGUUUUUUUUAACUCCGAAUUAAAGUAUUAAAAAAAUUAGCAGACAGUCUAUGAGCGAUAAGGUUUAUGGACGAAAGGAAAACAAUCCAGAUCGAAUACUAAGAUUUCUAAAUUAAAACUUAGGGAAAAAAAUUAAAUAAAGUUCAAAUAAUGCUGUUGUUAGGCUUAGAAGCAGCCUUUCAUUAGAGAAAGCGUUUUAGCUCACUAUUUUUCUUUUUUUAGUUUAAAAUGUAGCGAAACUUUAAGUUUUAUAUCGAAGUAGCGAAUUAAUGUAUAAUUAAUGGUAGUGAAACGUUCUGCAAAAUUUUUUUAAUUGUAAAAUUAUGAAAAAUUAGCAGAAAUGCUAAUGCUGAUAUGAGUAGCGAAAAUUACGUUAAAAAAUCGUAAUCACUGAAAGUUUAAGGGUUUCAAUGUAAUUUUAACUUCAUUGAGUUAGUCGGUCCUUAAGAGGUGAAUAAAAAUUGUACUCGAUAGGAAAUCAAUAAAAUAUAUUGAACUUUUUAUAUGUGUUUAAAAAACAUGAAAAAAAUAGUUAAGAUAAUUUUAUACAUCAUUAUAUAAAUGAAGGCAAAAAAUUAAUUUAAGCUAUUUUCGAGAAAAAAUUAUAGAAAAAUAAACCGUACUUAAACCGACACAGGUAAAUUUAUUGAGAAAAUUAUAAGUGAAUGAAAGAAUUGUAUUGAAGGAACUCGGCAAAUUAACUCUGUACGUUCGCUAUAAAGAGAGCCUUGUAAAAGGUAACAUAAAAUAAGAAGUAACGACUGGUUAACAAAACCACAGGACUCUGCAAAUUUGUGAUAAAAAGUAUAGAGUCUGAAGCCUGCCCAGUGCUUAAAAAUAAAAAAUUUAGGUUCAAGCUUAUUUUUUAAAUCUAAGUAAACGGCGGUUCUAACUAUAAGAAUCCUUAGGUAGCGAAAUUCCUUGACGGGUAAAUUCCGUCCUGCAUGAAUGGCGUAACGAUUACUUCACUGUCUCCAAUACAACUUCAGCGAAAUUACAUUAUCUAUGAAAAUGUAGAUUACUUGCAGUAAGACGGAAAGACCCUAGAUCCUUUACUUUAAUUUUAAAUUGUAAAAAAUUGUUUGUAUGCAAAGAAUAAGUGGGAAUAAAUCUAUUAUAUCCUUGAAAUACCACUCGUUAAAUUUAAUUUUUCACUGAAUUUGUAAAUAGUAUUAUAAAGACCGUUUAAAAGAGAAAGUUUACUUGGGACGAGUACCUCCUAAAUAGUAACGGAGGUGUACGAAGGUAAGUAACAAUUAUUCAUCUGAAUAAUGAAGAGCAUAAUGGUAUAAGCUUGCUUGACAAUAAGAUCUAUAAAUCAAAUUGCGACGAAAGUCUGUCAUAGUGACCCGAUAUUUAAGUGUGGAAUUAAUAUCGUUCAACAAAUAAAAGGAACUCUAGGGAUAACAGAUUCAUCGUGACUGAGAGUUCGUAUUGACGUCACGGUUUGAUACCUCGAUGUCGACUCAUCUUAUCCUGGAAUUGAAGUAGAUUUCAAGGGUCUAGUUGUUCGCUAGUGAAAAAGGUACGUGAGUUGGGUUCAGAACGUCGUGAGACAGUUCGGUCCCUAUCUACUGUAAGGAAAGAAAAAUAAAAAGUGUAUUCUUAGUACGAGAGGACCAGAAUAUUCUAACCUAUGAUAAAUUGAUUGUUAUGCCAAUAGCAUCGUCAAGUAGUUAAGUUAGUUUUAAAUAAACACUGAAUGAAUCAAAUGUGUUAAGUAUUCUUUUAUAUUUUUCAUGAAUAGUCUGAAAGAUUAUCAGAUAGAUCGGUUUGAAAAUAUGUUUUAGUAAUAAAUAAUCUUUAAUAAAUCCGAAUUAUUCAAAAAAAUUUU
RNAcentral lists this ribosomal RNA (2618 nucleotides) under Agarophyton chilense. Its description in RNAcentral is "large subunit ribosomal RNA". It matches the Rfam family "Bacterial large subunit ribosomal RNA". Lineage: Eukaryota; Rhodophyta; Florideophyceae; Gracilariales; Gracilariaceae. The record is from RNAcentral.